This 445-nucleotide unclassified non-coding RNA is filed under the name uncultured Bordetella sp. RNAcentral's name for it is "partial 16S-23S ribosomal RNA intergenic spacer". Lineage: Bacteria; Pseudomonadati; Pseudomonadota; Betaproteobacteria; Burkholderiales; Alcaligenaceae. The record is from RNAcentral.
ACUACACCGGGUAUCUAAUCUGUUUGCUCCCCACGCUUUCGUGCAUGAGCGUCAGUGUUAUCAGGAGGCUGCCUUCGCCAUCGGUGUUCCCUCGCAUAUCCUACGCAUUUCACUGCUACGCCGAAUUCCACCUCUCUGACACCUAGCUCGGUAGUUAAAAGUAAGUUCAAAAGUUAAGCUCUGGGAUUUCACAUCUUUCUUUCCGAACCGCCUGCGCACGCUUUGCGCCCAAAGUAAUUCCGAUUAACGCUUUUACGUAUUACCGCGGCUGCACAGCACGUAGUUAAUAGUGUAUUCUAUGAUGCCGAUGAUUUUUGAGGUAUUAUCCCGUGCAAUUUACCCCUCACUGCCAAAAGUGCUUUACAACCAGAAGGCCUUCAUCACACGCGAGAUGGCUGGAUCGGAGCUUCCCCAUUGUCCGAAAUUCCCCACUGCUGCCUCCGUA